UUUUAUGGAGAGUUUGAUCCUGGCUCAGGAUGAACGCUGGCGGCGUGCCUAAUACAUGCAAGUCGAGCGAACGGACGAGAAGCUUGCUUCUCUGAUGUUAGCGGCGGACGGGUGAGUAACACGUGGAUAACCUACCUAUAAGACUGGGAUAACUUCGGGAAACCGGAGCUAAUACCGGAUAAUA
This 184-nucleotide ribosomal RNA is filed under the name Staphylococcus aureus. Its description in RNAcentral is "partial 16S ribosomal RNA". It matches the Rfam family "Bacterial small subunit ribosomal RNA", at positions 1 to 178 of the family's 1533-position model. Lineage: Bacteria; Bacillati; Bacillota; Bacilli; Caryophanales; Staphylococcaceae. The record is from RNAcentral.